This 87-nucleotide transfer RNA is filed under the name Acetobacteraceae bacterium H6797. Its description in RNAcentral is "tRNA-Leu". It matches the Rfam family "tRNA". From Rfam's summary of the family: Transfer RNA (tRNA) molecules are approximately 80 nucleotides in length. The record is from RNAcentral. Lineage: Bacteria; Pseudomonadati; Pseudomonadota; Alphaproteobacteria; Acetobacterales; Acetobacteraceae.
GUGGACGUGGCGGAAUUGGUAGACGCAGCAGACUUAAAAUCUGGUUCCCAUUCGGGAGUACGGGUUCGAGUCCCGUCGUCCGCACCA